Molecule: transfer RNA, 55 nt
Filed under: Allodiplogaster sp. MY-2022
Lineage: Eukaryota; Metazoa; Nematoda; Chromadorea; Rhabditida; Diplogasteridae
Description: tRNA-Leu
Source: RNAcentral
GUUAAUGUAGUAUAAUAUAUUAUAUUUGUUUUAAGCGCAAAAGAUUUAAUUAGCA